UUUUAAUGGAGCUUAACACCAUUGGACCGUUUUCUCCUCAUUCUUCCUCCAUAUGAUGAUCUAAUUAAAAACACAAGUAUUUUGUGGUAGGUGACGUGGGUAGAGCUCAAUGAGGCCCAAUGAAGAGGAGUUGAUAUGGAUUUGGGUGAAUACGAGGAAAUACCGGUCAUUGGGAUUCAGUGCACAGGAUUGGCACAUAUGCAUGUGGGAGCAAUUGUUCAUGUAACGAGGGGAGAAGUAACAUGUCACACUUAGUUUUGGAGAUAUUUCUUAUGAUAUCUAGGAGUAUCAAAUGGUUUCAAAAGUAUUAUCAAAUGACUUCUUUUCUUAUCCAAGAGAGACACCUAACACAAUAAAUGACUUACAAGGCAUAAGAUAUGAUGCAUGAAAUUGAUCUGAAGCCUAGCGCAUCACAUCUUAUGCCUUUUAGAAUUUGUGAAUAAGCUUUGAGUGACAGCCCAACAUCAGUCUGAUUGAAAGACUUGGCACAUCAUAUCUUAUGCCUUUCAAGUUGAGCUGAGCUCUAUUUGGGUUCUGAUUGGCCUGUUGUAGAGCUUACUAGCUUGGUAAUGUCAUGAGGCAAAGAAGCUCAACAAACAAUAAACUUUCCAAACAUUGUUCAUAAACACUACAACAACAUUCCUCACAAUCCAUGGUUCAACAAGGUGCUCUGUCAUUAGCCCUCAUUAUUUCAAUUCUUCUAUUUAGAAUUUAUUUUAUUUUGCUUGGACAUACAGACUAUAAAUUGUUGGGCUCUUUCAAAAUGUCAAGUAAUGGGUAAAUUUGAGUGUAUUAAUGA
Cryptomeria japonica (Japanese cedar) is the source of this 799-nucleotide long non-coding RNA. RefSeq lists it as uncharacterized. The record is from RefSeq and is a predicted model, not a curated record. NCBI's taxonomy places the organism in Eukaryota, Viridiplantae, Streptophyta, Pinopsida, Cupressales, Cupressaceae. The transcript is spliced from 3 exons.